UCCCUCCCAGGAUCACACCUGGGGAGUUACUAAUAUUCUACCAGUCUCGACUAUGGGAGGAACAGUCAAGCAGAGGCAUACCUGUUCCAUUCCUAGCUUGGGCAUUGGUUAGUGAGUGGAAGGCAAUCUGCUACAAAU
Tachyglossus aculeatus (Australian echidna) is the source of this 138-nucleotide small nucleolar RNA. NCBI's taxonomy places the organism in Eukaryota, Metazoa, Chordata, Mammalia, Monotremata, Tachyglossidae. The record is from RefSeq and is a predicted model, not a curated record.